UGUCCCUACGGGAGGCAGCAGUGAGGAAUAUUGGUCAAUGGCCGGAAGGCUGAACCAGCCAAGCCGCGUGAAGGACGAAGGUGCCAAGCAUUGUAAACUUCUUUUGUCAAGGGACAAAAUCAGGCUCGAGAGCCUGACCGAGGGUACUUGAAGAAAAAGCAUCGGCUAACUCCGUGCCAGCAGCCGCGGUAAUACGGAGGAUGCGAGCGUUAUCCGGAUUUAUUGGGUUUAAAGGGUGCGUAGGCGGGCUGUUAAGUCAGCGGUAAAAUGUCGGGGCUCAACCCCGGCCGGCCGUUGAAACUGGU
RNAcentral lists this ribosomal RNA (305 nucleotides) under uncultured bacterium. RNAcentral's name for it is "bacterial SSU rRNA". It matches the Rfam family "Bacterial small subunit ribosomal RNA", at positions 334 to 637 of the family's 1533-position model. The record is from RNAcentral.